UAUUAUGUUAAAAUAUAUUGUAUAUUGGAGUAGUAUUAGAUAUAUUCUUGAAACUCAAAGAAUUUGGCGGUGUUUUAGUCCAUUUAGAGGAAUCUGUUAAUUAAUUGAUAUUACACGAUAGGUUAUACUUAAAUUUGUUAUCAGUUUAUAUACCGUCGUCAUGAGAAUAUUUUAUGAAAAUUAAAAAUUUCUUGAUUUUUUAUUAAAAAGAAUGUCAGAUCAAGGUGUAAUUUAUAUUUAAGUUUGAAUGGAUUACAAUAUAAGGAUAUAUGAUGAAUUAAUGAUUUAAUAGAAAUUAUGAAGGUGGAUUUAAUUGUAAAUUAUAUUUAAUUUGUAUAUUUGAUUUAGGCUCUAAAAUGUGUACAUAUCGCCCGUCACUCUCGUUAUAAAAUGAG
RNAcentral lists this ribosomal RNA (395 nucleotides) under Oecanthus sp. FGu. RNAcentral describes it as "partial 12S ribosomal RNA". The record is from RNAcentral. Lineage: Eukaryota; Metazoa; Arthropoda; Insecta; Orthoptera; Gryllidae.